GGAACGUAUAGCCCCGAAAAUUUCAACAGAUAAUAGAGUUUGAAGCUUACCAUUAUCAUCAGGACGAAGGAGGUCAAGAACUUUUCCACGAGCGACGACGAUUUCUUGUACUUUUCCGCCGGAAAAGCUGCCGUUGAUAGCACAGAUUAUUCCGGUGGGUUGCUGCAGAGUGAGACUGUAGAGAUACAUACUGCUGAAACCCUAGUUUGUGAGAUUUAGGGUUUUGAGUGAGAAGAAG
RNAcentral lists this unclassified non-coding RNA (238 nucleotides) under Hevea brasiliensis (rubber tree). The record is from RNAcentral. Lineage: Eukaryota; Viridiplantae; Streptophyta; Magnoliopsida; Malpighiales; Euphorbiaceae.